AUGGGUGUCUUGUGCUCAUCUCCGGAUACGGAUCUGUAUCCUUCUCUGUACAUGUCCUGCUUCCAAGGAUUGUUCUUCUGCUCACAGGUUGCAUUCCUGUUGCUUCACAAUGUUUGUAUUUACCAUAUUACUCCUCAAUGCCAUGAGUUGGGAGCAGCUCCAAUUCCAUCAGAUGUACAUGAGCUAUAUGUUGAUAAGCUCGCGUAUCAGUUGGCGGAUGUUCUUGAUUUCUUCAGUUUAGGGUCUGUGAUGUGCAUGGGUGUCACCGCCGGUGCCUAUAUGCUUAUCUUCUUUGCAGUACGUGUUUGCACGAUUAGGUAUUAA
Molecule: ribosomal RNA, 324 nt
Filed under: Triticum aestivum (bread wheat)
Lineage: Eukaryota; Viridiplantae; Streptophyta; Magnoliopsida; Poales; Poaceae
Description: partial small subunit ribosomal RNA
Source: RNAcentral